AUCUCUCCCUUACUAACCCAUGAUACAAAUACACACCAACUACACAUCAGGAUUUUAUAAAUAACGUUGACGCUUUGCUUACAUACAUACAUAUAGCGAGAUGGGGUUUUUCCUCGGGUCGGUACAAAAGGAACAGAAAAGGUUAAGACUCUGCCAUGUCCCACCUAAAAUCUCAAAAAGGAACUCCGACCUCUAACAUCAUAUGAGCACAAAAACCCUCCCAUCACGAGCGUCAACUAUCUAUACCAAAAAGCGGUCUAGCUCCUACUCCUCGCGUGCGAUCUCACACCCAUCCCGGUGCGUCAGGUGGUGGCGGCGGCAGCAUCCCUCGCAUAGCACCAUCUCGACGGACGUGCACGGACAAAAACUCUUGUAUGACAGGGCCCCCAGCCAGGCCGAUAUCAUACAUGACUAAGCAUCGUACUCGGAUAAAAGUCAAUCCGGGUACCGAGGGACAGUCUAUCUCAGUCAUCUCCACCUCGACGUCAGACGGAAUACCGUAAAACACGCCACGCGAAACAGCAGGCAGUGGCAUAGUGCUAAUCUGAAAUGUUAUCCCCAAAAGGGGUGAGUACAACCACUCAGCAGAUAGGGAAAUCCAAUCACAACUCAGUGCACCAUGCAUACCAUCAUACAAUUCAGGCAUCACUUACCUUUUUGAUGACAAGCGUAUUCAUGCAUCAUCAUAGCAUACAUAUCAUCAUUAACCAUGCAUCACCAUGCAUAUCACAUCAUAUCAUCAUUAACCAUGCAUCACCAUGCAUAUCACAUCAUCAUUAACCAUGCAUCACCAUGCAUAUCACAUCAUAUCAUCAUUGGCCAUGCAUCACCAUGCAUAUCACAUCAUCAUUAACCAUGCAUCACCAUGCAUAUCACAUCAUAUCAUCAUUGACCAUGCAUCACCAUGCAUAUCACAUCAUCAUUAGCCAUGCAUCACAAUGCAUAUCACAUCAUAGAUCAAUUUCCAUUUUUAUUUAUCAAUUGAUCCCCACAUUAUCUUUUCUCAAAUCAUCACCAUCCCUUCGGGCAGAAACCUCCGACAGGGUAUCAUUAUCAAUCCUUCGGGCAGAAACCUCCGACAGGAUUCCAUGAUCAAUUUGAUCAUCACCCUUCGGGCAGAAACCUCCGACAGGGUUCCCAGUAUCCCAGCCAUCUCAUGGCCACUGGGCUUCCGGCCCCCCACAUUCCGGGCAUCUCGCACCUCAACUAGCAUCACGAGGAACCUCCCUUCGGGCAGAAACCUCCGACAGGGACUUCCGGUCUUUACCCUUCUAACCGGGGAUCUCGCACCCUAAUCCUGGCAUCGCGAGUCACUCCCUUCGGACAGAAACCUCCGACAGGGCUUCCGGCCCCCCACAUUCCGGGCAUCCUGAAACUCCCAGGGAAUCUCUGGAAUUACACCACCAGGCCACCAGACAACAUCCUCCGCCACAACCUCUUACUCACAUACCACUUUCCACUUUUUUUAUCAUCCUUUUCAUCUUAUUAUUUCAUGGCAUAUGAAUCACACACACGCAUCAUGAUUCAUAAUCAUACAUGCAUCAAUGCCAUAUAACAAUGCAUCAUAUUCAUGUGCAUACAUACACCCAUGUCAUAUAACAAUGCAUUAUAACUCAAUAAAAAUCUUGGCCAAUAAAAUAAUCCACUUUUUAUUUUAUUAUUAUUUUAUUAUUAUAUUUAUUUAUUUUCAUAAAUAUUUUAUUUAAUAUUUAUGAUUUUCCAAAAAAAUCAUAAUAUUCAAACAAUCAUUAAAAAAAACAAUUAAAAUCACAAUUUCACACAAAUUCAUGGUCAAAUUUGCAUUUCACAUAAUUUCCCAAAUUUCCACAAAAUACACACAAUAUUCGGAUAAUGGCCAGAUUACACAGUUUUCAAAUUUAUUCAAUUAAAAUACUCAUAUGACCUCCGAAAAUUCCCAAAUUUUACAGGGUGAUAGAAAACACAUUUUCGUGCAUUCUUCAUGUAGAACUCUUUGCCAAAUUCUUUAUAGAUUAAUUUAUACAACUCCAUGAAGCUUCUGGAACCUCUACCGUUUCGUCCAGAACGUACAUCACCGAAGAACUUAGGUUUGACCCAUCAAAUCUCUUUCUUUUCUUCUGAAAUUCGAGUAUGUUAUGUAUCAAUGUGUCCUUUACAAGUUUCAUGAAGAUAUCUAGGUUAAAUAACCAAAGCAUGAUCCUCUUUUAAGUCCUUGAAGCCUCGGGUAUCUCGGUUCACUUCAACCGAACCAAACAUCUCAAAGAUCCAGCCGAUUAACUAGGCUAUACUUGUUCAUUUCUCUUCAAAUUUGAGUAUGUUGUAUUUUAGGAUGUUACCAACAACUUCCAUGAAGACAACAAAGUGAGAUCUCCAACAGAAAUCAACAUGCAACCAAGAAAUCAUCAAGAGGUCAGUAGGAAAUUCGCAGAUCUGAAGUCUCCGUAUAACAGAGCUUUUGACCCCUCAUAUCACCUUCGUUUUCCAUGAAAUUCGAGUAUGUCAUAACUCAAGAUGUUAGCUUCAACUUUCAUGAAGACACCGAAGCCAAAAUCACACUCCAAAUACACAUGCAAGCUCGAAUAGGAAACUGUCUACCACAAACCGAACGGAAACAGCCACAUAACAUGAUCACAUGCAACCCUUACCUCGGUUCUUCGCCCAAACCACACCUAAAAUCUAACAUGCAACCAUCAAAACAACAUGCAAGAGAAGUUAUGAACCCCCACUUGCCUUAAAGAAGAACACACAGCAACACACGGCGGCG
This 2743-nucleotide long non-coding RNA is filed under the name Eucalyptus grandis. Its description in RNAcentral is "long non-coding RNA (EGRA_LNC004947)". Lineage: Eukaryota; Viridiplantae; Streptophyta; Magnoliopsida; Myrtales; Myrtaceae. The record is from RNAcentral.